GAGUAAUGCCUGGGAAAUUGCCCAGUCGAGGGGGAUAACAGUUGGAAACGACUGCUAAUACCGCAUACGCCCUACGGGGGAAAGCAGGGGACCUUCGGGCCUUGCGCGAUUGGAUAUGCCCAGGUGGGAUUAGCUAGUUGGUGAGGUAAUGGCUCACCAAGGCGACGAUCCCUAGCUGGUCUGAGAGGAUGAUCAGCCACACUGGAACUGAGACACGGUCCAGACUCCUACGGGAGGCAGCAGUGGGGAAUAUUGCACAAUGGGGGAAACCCUGAUGCAGCCAUGGGGGCAGGGUGUGAAGAAGGC
This 306-nucleotide ribosomal RNA is filed under the name Aeromonas hydrophila. Its description in RNAcentral is "bacterial SSU rRNA". It matches the Rfam family "Bacterial small subunit ribosomal RNA", at positions 108 to 415 of the family's 1533-position model. The record is from RNAcentral. Lineage: Bacteria; Pseudomonadati; Pseudomonadota; Gammaproteobacteria; Aeromonadales; Aeromonadaceae.